This 736-nucleotide long non-coding RNA is filed under the name Triticum aestivum (bread wheat). RNAcentral's name for it is "long non-coding RNA (TAES_LNC014917)". The record is from RNAcentral. Lineage: Eukaryota; Viridiplantae; Streptophyta; Magnoliopsida; Poales; Poaceae.
UUUUUCAAAUCAUGGUGCUUUAGUUAGUUUGUUAAUGGGUAGAAGAACAAUUGAUCAGAAGGCCCAUAAUCUUUUCAUGGAUGUAGAAGAAACAGAAAAGAUCCUUUCACGGUUGUACAAGGAAGCCCUAAAAUAUCUACCUUCUCCACCUUCGCUUCCUCUAAUAUGUACUCUAUCCCUCCCCUAGUUGAAAAACAAAUCCACCUCUCUCAAAACCAAGUCGAAGCAUGGAUCCCGUGUAGUCAAGGAGCUUAUUGCGUCAAGAUUAUUUUCCUCCUCUGGAUCAGGUUCGUUUUCCCACAAUUUUUAUUCUGAAUUUAUUUUCCUUCUGGUUUAUACUUGAAUCCACAUUAACUUCAGAUUCGAGUUCAAUUUGUUUUCAAUCACCCCUUCGGAUAGUGUCGUGCGCUCAAGGGAUUCAAUCUAGAAUCUUCUCACCUACAGUACAACCUAUGGAUGCCCGAGAUCGGUCGGGGCAUAACUAUGCUCAUCAGGUGAGUUUAUAAAAUAAGAAACCUGUUGUCUAAACAAACGUAAACAUGAAGGAGCCUAAUGUCAGUUGUCAACAUGCCGCUGGUUAAACCACUCCUAAAUCAAUUUUUGUAUGGGUAAAACAUGCCAGGGACCCUAUAUGGCAGGAUUAAUAUCUUUUCUUGAUUUCUUUUGUUGCUGCUCUGCCACAAUCUCCUGUUCAAGGAAGUACCUUGCCAAGCUAGCAUGUCCUGGCCGUUGUAGG